CUUCUCUGGUCUAACUGCCUUCUUUUCAGUCAAGACAUGCUGACUGGUUCCCUUCUCCAAAUGCCAGAGAGAGUUGGAGUUUAUUGAAUUGUAAAAUACACAGUGAGAAAAAUUACAUCUGUUAUUUUCUACCUGCUGAAGAUGUAGGGAUCAAUUAUCAUGUGAGAUGGGGAAAAGAGAAUUCUAGAAGAGAAAUGGCUGAACACUCCAAUGGAUUCGGAAGUAAAAACAAAACAAACAGAAAGUAACAAUUGAUCGCCACUUGCUAUGUGCCAGAUACUGUGCUGAAUGUUGCAUUUAGUCAGAAUUUAAAUCAACGAUGGGUUACUGGGCAAAGGAAAACA
This 344-nucleotide long non-coding RNA is filed under the name Monodelphis domestica (gray short-tailed opossum). RNAcentral describes it as "lncRNA (ENSMODG00000049445.1)". Lineage: Eukaryota; Metazoa; Chordata; Mammalia; Didelphimorphia; Didelphidae. The record is from RNAcentral.